GGAGAUGAGAGCAAGAAGAGAGAGAGGGGGGUUCUUGUGUGUGCAAUGCGCAGAAGAAGAAUAGAAAGAUGAAGAAGUCGACAUGAGAGAGGUCGCGAAGAGGGAAGGAGAUGAGAGCAAGAAGAGAGGGGGGGGUUCUUGUGUGUGCAAUGCGCAUGAGGCUCUCAUAACCUGAGCUGCACAAUUUCAUCAACCAUUUCUUCUCUUUUGAUAGUAAGUAUUGGAACCCACCGCACUAGCAACAGACAUCUGUAGAGGGAAAAAACCUGUGUGCCAUGAGAGCCCCCCGUUCCCAUCCGCCAGCCCCCCACCAUCCUCCGCCACCGCGCUACCCGCCGCCACCGGCGACAGCCCCCGCCUACCCCCGCAGAGCUCCAGCAGGACCACAAACCAACCAGAACCUACACCCCCCAUCCCCAAUCAUCCCGCAUUCAAGGAGAGCCUGGGAGCAGUUCUUCAACGCCUCCCCACCGCCACCUCCACGGGGAGGCCGGCCGCCGCUACUCGAGGAAGAUUGGGUGCCGGAAUCGCCGGAUCUGAGGAUCCCCUUGCAAGAUCUGAGGCCUGGCAACUUCAAACCUACCACUGCCAAAGAGGAUGCGGUGUUGUCCUACGCGGAGGUCGUCAGAGGCUGGCGUUUCAACUCCCCAACCGUCCCAAUCUCCCUACGACACCACGGAGAAGGAAGCGCUACAGCCCAUGGGAGAGGGAGUAACUCCGAUGACAAAACGGCUCCGCGGCGCAUUCAAGACCCAGCGUCAACGGUGUGAUGUUCCGGGCCCCGGUACGGCAAAGUACAGCAACCACCUCAGCACACCCCGGCGCGCCAUGACUGGCAGACAGUGAGGCGCCGAAGGACGCGGUAGCGUGCACCGCCCGAGAUGCUGCGACGCGACGGCGGAAGUGACCGGAGCCGCAGAAGCCAUUCAAGGAGGCCACCAACCAAGGCGCUGCUCGCCUUCAAGCGCGAGACCGCGGGUCGCUGCUUCCGGUGCCUUGCCACAGACCACCUCGCCUCGGCAUGCCGCGACCCUGUGCGCUGCUUCCGGUGCCGGCAAUUCGGACACAGAGAGCGCGCGUGCAGGGCGGCGCGGGCACCAGCUGAAUAGGUAACCGCCAAACGCGGGCUGACCACUCGCACCACGCCGCCAGUCACCUGACGACCGCCACCAGCCGCGCCACCAGCAGAGCCACGCGCCAGAGCUCCAGCCAGCCACCCGCCGACCCACAAAGCCCCAACCUCUACUCGCUGCCAACCCCCUGCAAUACCACACCACACGGCCUCCGUCGAUAGCCGGCCGCGACUGCGUUUGAGUCCAGCCGUCCGCCACCCUCCAUCUGAGCCAACAAGAACCACAGCCAAAAUGGCCAUAGGAGACCCUCACACACGACCAGAAGUGGAAACAGUGUUCGUCUCCAGCUCCUUCCACCUUGAGCAUGAUGCGCGGGACUGGGAAGCCUGCGCGCUCGUCCCGUGGGCGCUGCACCUGCCGCCGGACGCCGGAGCUCGGGACAUCGCCAACCUCCUCACUUGAGAGCUCCGUCUGCGGCCCGGCGACUUCACCGUCAAGCUACACCAGCCAGAACCAUAUCUGAUCCGGUUCGAGCAUGCGGCGCAUGCGGCGGAGGCGCGCCGCCGUGGGUGUUUCACAGGUGCGGGCAUCGACAUCUGCCUCCGCACAUGGUGAAGCCUCACGCACGCCCUCGGCUUCUGCAUCUUCUACAGGGUGCGGCUCUGCCUCGACGGCAUCCCGUCACACGCCUAGACACCGGAGAUUGUUGAGCGAGUCGUCGGCCACAAGUGCGCUCUGCAACACAUCGUCACCGACCUCAUCCAACCGGCGGACUCCAGGCACAUCGAGCUCUGGGCAUGGACGGUGGACCCGAGCGAGAUCCCAAAGAAGGUAUGGCUCGCCUUCACCCACAACCCGGCAGCCAAGUCCUCUGCUUUUGCAGUCUCGGCCGAGCCCCCACAGCUGUCAUGGCAGCAAGGGGCCCGAUAUGAAGUCUUCAUCCACAUGCCAUUACUGGAGGACUACACGGCGGUGGCACGCGAUCUCCAGCAGGCCAUCGACAACCCGCAAAGUGUCCCCAACUCGGCGGCGCUUCGAAUGGUGCUACGGCCUCGUCGACGGUGCGCUGCCGGAUGCAAGAUCGCAUUUUCCGACGCGCCUGCCUCGGCCGCCGUGGGAACCGACCGGCGGGGAUUCUCACCCUGCUGACCACAGCAGGGGACGACACGAGACCGCAGGCGCUCCUAGAGCUGCACAAGGCGCCCGGGCCAUGGGCGGCGAUGGAGACGGUGGGAGCAGGCGUGGCGCGCAAGCUCGUCAAGAUCCGCAUGAGAAAGCUGAUCACACCAAGCGUCGAGCGGCCAGACAGCACUGCAACGACCGGCCAUUUGUCUGGCCUUCCCGCCGCGGAGAUGACGACGACGACGGCAACGGUGACUACAACCACCCAGGGCAGGGACGCAACCUCGGCGACGACUACUGGGGCAGUGCGGGUGCGGUGCGCCGUGACCGCACGAGACCCUCCCCCCCCCCCCCCCCCCGCGGCGCAACUACGCACCCCUGUAAGGAUGGUGCCAUGAAGCUGGCGAUCUGGGGCUAAGCAACUUAGCCCCGGCACAACUCCAGGCCCUGUUCGUGGUGCAAGCCAAGACGCUGAAGAACUACAUGCAGGAGAAGGUAAUCAAGGCACCUGAUACGACUGACAAUUUCACUUUGGAUGCUAGGAAGCGGUACUGGCACGCCGGCGUCGAUGAAUACAUCCGUAAAGCGUGUUGGCUCGCCGACCGCCUCGGCAUCGAUGACGCUGUGCAAGGGGAAAAGGCCUGGUCCGACCCGGUGCCGCUGCCGCGAGUCUUCAACACUCUGCGGGCGGCGCUCCUCCCGGCUCCGUCGAUGGCGUCGCCGACGAUUCAAGACGUCGACCGGGCGCUGGACAUCUUGUGCAUUGGCGCGGCGGAGGAAGACGCAAGCGACAUGGGCCAAGAAUGCCACACGCAGGCAGCAGCCCAGAUGGCCGCGGGCAAUGCCCCAGCUCAGCUAGCCAUCAACACGGCCCGAGCUGAGGAGCAAGAGCCACAACGGGACGCCCCAGCAGGCGACAUGGCUGGGCUGCACCGGAAGGUUGGUGGCUAGGUAUCCGCUGGGCCGAGGUAGGCCCACCAAACCACAACAACUGCGGUGCCUUCAGCAGUGACCACAAGUGAGGCGGCCCACGAAACACCCCUAGCCGGGCUCAACACGUCGCCUCCUGGAAACAUGCCCACUAGGCCCGUCAACGGGGCCACCUGCCCACCGCAAGCGGCGGCCCGCACACAACCACCACCUGAGGCCUGCCUGCUCCCGCACGACAGCCAUCUUGCAAGGCCAACAAAUGGGACUUCCAGUCCAGAGCAACACAUGCCCACGAACUAGUCGCCCGAUGCAAUGCCAGUGAUUGCCCCUGCUGUGCCUACCCCAAAAAUAGAUGACCUCUUCACAACCCUGCUGCCGCCAGCACUGCUACAGCCCCCACUGCAGCGCACGCGCCGGAGCCGCACCUUCGACAUGAGCAAGGUGCAGCGGAGCGCGCGUCUGGCCAAGAAGCCAGCCAUGCCGGCCAUUGAACGUGCAGAACGGAACCUCUGGAGGAAACUAGGCGUCGGUGAUGAUGAGAUGGCGCCAAUUGAGCAAGUACUGCAAGAUUUCCUUAACAUGUUUCAGGGGCGCUGCCGGACUUCAUCAUAAUAGCUAUGACUGCUCUCUUCAACCUCGACGACGACGCCGCCGAGCAGAUGAACGACGCGCUUCUACAGAUGGCAGGCGACGCUGUAAGAGAGCUCCAGCAGGAUGACCAUGCGGCUACAUGAUCAUCAUGACACUGCACCUACAUCAAGUGUUUUAUCAAUGCUACAUGUAUAGCUACUUUUAUGUAUUUCCUAUUCUUGUACCUCACCCUGCUGGUUGCGACCUUCGGGGAGGACUCUACUUUAGCCCUGCUGGCUGUGACCUUCGGGCAAAACUUGCGAACUAUAAACUAUGCCCCGCCAGCUAUCAACCUAGAACUUGGACAACAGCUACUCCAGCGACAAAAGGCACCAACGACCAUAAUCCAGCGACAAAAAGCACCAACGAUAGCCACCUACGGCACCUACGGCACCCACGGGAUCAAUACUCUACGAGAUGCAGCGUCUGUUGGAGGUAUGCCCUAGAGGCAAUCAUAGAGAUGAUGAUAUUCCAUUUGUAUCCAUGAUUUGUAUAUUGUGUUCAUUGAAUAUCCAUUAAAGGCUACUUGAAUUGAUUUGCAAUUAUGUGAAUUGUAUGUGAAACUCUUUACUUGUAUGGUUAUUCUAAAGUUGUCCCUAGUCGGAGUUCAUGUGAGGACACACAUGAAUAUCAGACUAGCACAUGUAUUAGUUGAUGACUAUGUUUCACAAGUCAUGGACAUGGAGAUGUUGAACUAAUAAUGUGGACACAUGUGGAGACAUGUGUUAGGACUGACCCAACACGAGAAGUAGUUCUCUCUUUAAACAACAUAUACGCUUUGUCCUUAGACCUGAGAUUGUCGCAUGUAUUCUAGAUGUGGAUCGACCUACUUAGGGGCUAUCAAACGCUACGCCGUAACAGGGUAGUUAUAAAGGUAGCUUUCGGGUUUGUCAAGAAGCAUGCUAUGAGAUAUGGUCAAUCAAGAUGGGAUUUGCCCCUCUCUGAUUGAGAGUGAUAUCUCUGGGCCCCUCGAGUGAUCGGAUCCGAAAAUGCAUGGCCAUGCUACGUACGGUUAAGAGUUAACCUACAAAGGGAUUCCGAAUCACAGGAUCGAGAAAGAGCGGUCAGCUUGAAGCUAGACCAAAUAUCGUGAGGCAAAGGGAAUAGCAUGUAUAUUAUGUUGUGAUGGUUCGUCUGAUAUGAUCUUCGUAUGCGUAUAGGAGUUGGCACGUCUUGCUAGAGGCCGCUACCGACUAUUGGGCCGAGUAGGAGUACUCGGGCCAUGUCUAUACGUAUCCGAACCCAUAGGGUCACACACUUAAGGGGCUGGAAGCCCAAUUCGGAUCUGAUCCGAGUUGGAUUAGGUUUAGGAGUGCUAAUGGGCCUCGGAUCCAGAGGCCCAUCAGGAACCUCUAUAAAUAGAGGGGUGGGGGCGCCCUAGGGUUUACACCUUUUGGCUGAACACACUUGCCGCGCCUCCCACGCCCUCGCCUGUUGCAACUCGCGGAUCUAGCAAUCCGGCUUGCGACGCUUCCUCCCUGCACGUGUGGAUACCUUGGAGGUGUUGCGCCUGCAGCACUUGGACGAGCCAUCGACGAGCCGCCGACGAGCCACGACGAGCCGACGACGAGCCGCGGCACCGGAGGCGAUCUUGCUGUGCACGUGGACGAGCUGCUGAGGAGCCGCUGGACGUGAUCGACUACGUACGACUACGUUGUUCGACUACGUACGACUACGUGAUCGUCUUCACUGCACCGACGCAUAUCUACAUCUUCCGCACCAGUAGUGCGUCGAGUGGUAAUCCCGUGAUCCUUAUACGGCAGUUCUUCCUGGUUAUACGCGGUAGAUUUUUGUUUUGCGCUAGCGUAGCCUACCUCGUAUCCCUACAGUGGUAUCAAGAGCCUUAGCUGCUUAGUUUUGAAUUCGGGAUGUGUGCAUAUGGAGAUAUGCGAGUUUUCUGUUUGAUCUAUGUCCUGGUUUCGUGCCCUUGCUGCAAUGGUAGUGUAACGACAUACUCCUACCGGUCGGUUUCCACCAUCGGAGUUAAGUGAUACACGUAAAUCCAGUUGCAGUGAAGGGAAGAUCAAUAUGAUUGGUCGAAUCGAGAUCCAGGGUCAUACGCCAGGCGCAUUAGAUGUGCAAUGGUAGAUGGGAUCUACUGCCGGGGUCGGGAUUUUGCCGUAUGCGCAUGCUUCGGUAAAUCAGCCGUAACUUUUCGGUAUGAUCUCGGAUCGGGGCGAUUUCUAUACGAAAAUUGAUCUACAGAAAAAGUUACACGUGAAUUUCAACCGCUUCGCCGUUUUCGGCGAAAUUAGAUUUGCCAAAUUCGGCUUGGAAGAUGGAGUUUCGGGCCUCCCAAGUUUGGAACGUUAGGACGCCUAACUCUCUUUUGCAGGAUGUAUCUUGUGAUCAGUAUGGCCCCCUUGUGUAUGUGAUGCAUGUGUGUAACUAAUUCGUGACCUGCGUGUCGCGCGUACGGCAACACGGCAGGAGCCAUAUGUGUUGUCACUUUAUUGUAUUUAAUGGUCUGCGUACCAAUCUGUGAUGAUCCAAGCAACUAUGUAAUCUUCAUUACUAGAUUCUUUACUAGCUAUUAGGCGUAAUAGCAUGCUCUAGUUCUUGGAGGACUCAUCACCAGGAGGAUGGCGCACAUGGAACAUGGAGAUGGAGAUCACCAUGGUGAACAGGUUCUAUGGAGAUGGAGAUCACCAUAUGAAAACGGGCCAUACUAUGUCACAAGCUGUGUGAAUGCUAUUCUGUUUAUGUUUUACUUUCUGCAUGCUGUGAUGUUAGAAGUAGAACGAUCCCUCGCAAAUUUUAAGUUAGUAUGCCCUCCCAACUAAAACUUGCACCGUCCCAUGUCUUGUACAAUUAGUGGUGGGUCUAUGAAAUUAGGGUGCCACUAGUUUUCCUUGACUAGAUGGGUUUGUGUCGGACACUUACACGCAUAAGGGUUGGUUUGCUUAACGAGGUCAUCUUAACGGUUAAGGACCUUGGGGCAUAAAGGUUGGGCGCCGAGACAUACAGAUGUCACCCAACAACAGGAGUCAUAUGUGAUAUGAUUAGCAAAAGUUGCUUACCGAUCUACCUCGUUUGCUAGCGGUGAUGCUAAAGCUCACUAGUAGACUUGUUAGUUGUGGAUUCUGAAUCACUAAGUUAGAGGGAUAUUGAUUUUAGUGGGAGUAGAUUCUGUUAAAAUAGUUUAAUGUAAUUUGCUCUAUCAUGGAUACGUUUGUCUUAGUGUAUUUUGCAUUACUUUUGUUGUAGAUUAAAUGGCACCUAGCAACACCACCACAUCGUUUGCUUUGCGUUCGGUCCUUGAGAAGGACAAGUUGAAUGGAACAAACUACUCGGAUUGGAUCCGCAACCUGAGAAUUGUUCUCAGGGCUGAGAAAAAGGAAGAUGUUCUAGACAACCCACUACCAGAAGAACCUGCUGAGGAUGCACCCGCUGCUGCUAAGAAUGCUUACAAGAAAGCAUGUGAUGCUAACCUUGAAGUAAGCUGCCUUAUGCUUGCUUGCAUGGAACCCGAGCUGCAAAUGCAGUUCGAAACAAACCAUGAGGCGCACGAUAUGAUCGUGGCGCUUAGAGACAUGUUCCAAACACAGGCCAGGACUGAAAGGUUCAAUGUGUCUAAGGCCUUUGUUGAGAGCAAGCUAGCAGAAGGCGCAGCAGUAGGACCACACGUGAUCAAGAUGGUUGGUUACACUCAACGGUUGGAGAAGCUAGGCUUCCCACUGGGCCAAGAGUUGGCCACUGAUUUCAUUCUUUCCUCUCUUCCGCCUAGCUAUGGGAACUUCAUCUCGAACUACCAUAUGCAUGGGACGGAGAAGGGAUUGAAUGAGCUGUGUGGUAUGCUCAAGACAGCAGAGGCUGACAUCAAGAAAAGCGCUAGUACCAGCCAUGUGAUGGCGAUACAGAACAAGCCCAGCUUUAAAAAGAAGGGCAAUUCUUGGAAGAAGAAGGGCAAGGCUGGAACGUCCAAGCCAAACCCACCGCCCAAGGUUAAAGCUGGACCUGGACCUGCUCCAGAUAAAGAGUGCUUUUACUGUCAUGAACUUGGUCACUGGAAGAGAAACUGCAAGCAGUACCUAGCUUCGUUGAAGAACGGCAGAAGUAAGAGUACUUCUACCUCAGGUACGCUUGUUGUUAAUGUUAUAGACAACAUAUUUCUCGCUGAUACAGUUAUUAAUUCUUGGGUAUUUGAUACCGGAUCGGUUGCUCAUAUUUGCAAUUCGAUGCAGGGAAUGAUAAGAAGUAGAAGCGUGGAAAGAGGAGAAGUUGAUUUCCGCGUGGGCAAUAAUGCAAGAGUUGCUGCUUUGACCGUCGGGACGAUGCAACUCCACCUCCCGUCAGGAUUUAUUAUGGAGUUGAAUAAUUGUUAUUUUGUUCCUAGUUUAAGUCGAAACAUUUUGUCUCCUUCAUGCUUGAUGAAGGAUGGUUAUUCAUUUGCAAGUGAAAACAAUGGUUGUGUGAUCUCUAAGAAUAAUAUGUUUAUGGCUUUUGCACCCAUUGUGAAUGGAUUGUUUGUUUUAAAUCUUGAUGGUUCACUUGUCUGUAAUAUAAGUGCUAAAAGGCCUCGGCCUAAUGAUUUGAGUCCUACCUACUUGUGGCAUUGUCGUUUGGGUCAUAUAAGUGAAAAGCGCAUGAAGAAGCUCCAUUCUGAUGGACUUCUAACUUCGUUUGAUUUUGAAUCAUACGAGACAUGUGAGGCUUGCUUGCUAGGCAAGAUGACCAAGACGCCUUUCACAGGAUUUCCUGAGAGAGCAGUAGACUUGUUGGAACUCGUACAUAGUGAUGUAUGCGGACCAAUGAGCACGACGGCUAGAGGAGGAUUCCAAUACUUCAUAACUUUCACUGAUGAUUUUAGUAGAUAUGGCUAUGUCUACUUGAUGAGACACAAGUCUGAAACCUUUGAAAAGUUCAAGGAAUUUCAGAAUGAAGUUGAAAAUCAGCGUGGCAAGAAAAUUAAGGCCUUACGAUCUGAUCGUGGAGGCGAGUAUUUGAGCCACGAGUUUAGCAAUCAUCUAAAGAGUUGCGGAAUUGUUCCACAACUUACGCCGCCUGGAACACCUCAGAGAAACGGUGUGUCCGAGCGACGUAAUCGAACUUUGUUAGACAUGGUUCGAUCAAUGAUGAGCCAGUCGGACCUACCGUUGUCAUUUUGGGGAUACGCUCUAGAAACAGCAGCUUUCACACUAAAUAGGGUACCAUCUAAAUCCGUAGUUAAGACACCAUAUGAGAUAUGGACUGGAAAGGUUCCCAGUUUGUCUUUUCUAAAGAUUUGGGGAUGUGAAGUGUUUGUCAAGCGACUUCAGUCGGACAAGAUCACACCCAAGUCGGAUAAAUGCAUUUUCGUGGGAUAUCCAAAGGAAACUUUGGGAUAUUAUUUCUACAACCGAUCAGAAGGCAAAGUGUUUGUCGCUCGGAACGGGGUUUUCUUAGAGAAAGAGUUUCUCAAAGGAGAAAAGAGUGGAAAGACAGUGCAUCUUGAAGAAGUUCAAGAUGAGCCAAUCGGGCAAGAAUCAAUGAGUGAUGCUAACGUAGCAGAACAAGUUGAGAUACCCAUGGCAAGAGAAGCACCGCCACAACCACGAAGGUCGGCAAGGCUCCGCGAAAUGCGAGAAAUAUUAUUGUUGGACAAUGAUGAGCCUGCGACAUAUGCAGAAGCAAUGAUGGACCCAGACUCCGAAAAAUGGCAGAGUGCCAUGCAAUCCGAAAUAGAGUCCAUGGGAGACAAUCAAGUUUGGAACUUGGUUGACCCGCCUGAUGGUGUUAAAGCCAUAGAGUGCAAGUGGAUCUAUAAGAAGAAAAAGGACAUGGAUGGAAAUGUUCACAUCUAUAAAGCACGACUUGUCGCAAAAGGUUUUCGACAAGUUCAAGGAGUUGACUACGACGAGACCUUCUCGCCCGUAGUGAUGCUUAAGUCCAUUCGGAUUAUUCUAGCUAUAGCUGCAUAUUUUGAUUAUGAGAUAUGGCAGAUGGAUGUCAAGACAGCUUUCCUGAAUGGAAACCUAGCUGAGGACGUGUAUAUGAUACAGCCCGAGGGUUUUGUCGAUCCGAAAAAUGCUGGAAAGGUAUGCAAGCUUCAGAGAUCCAUUUAUGGAUUGAAGCAAGCAUCUAGGAGUUGGAACAUUCGUUUUGAUGAAGUGGUCAAAGGGUUUGACUUCACCAAGAACGAAGAAGAGUCUUGUGUUUACAAGAAGGUUAGUGGGAGCUCUGUAGUAUUUCUAAUCUUAUAUGUGGAUGACAUAUUACUGAUUGGAAAUAACAUUCCUAUGCUUGAGUCCGUAAAGACUUCACUGAAAAAUAGUUUUUCGAUGAAGGACUUAGGGGAAGCGGCAUAUAUUCUGGGCAUUAAGAUCUAUAGAGAUAGAUCGAGAAGGCUUAUAGGUUUGAGCCAAGAUACUUAUAUUGACAAAGUGUUGAAGCGGUUCAGCAUGGAAGAGGCAAAGAAAGGGUUCUUGCCUAUGUCACAUGGCAUACAUCUCAGCAAGACUCAGUGUCCUUCGACUGCUGAUGAGCGGGAUCGCAUGAGUAGAGUACCAUAUGCCUCGGCUAUUGGAUCUAUCAUGUAUGCAAUGAUAAGUACUCGCCCAGAUGUUUCAUAUGCGCUAAGUAUGACAAGCAGACACCAAUCUGAUCCAGGUGAGAGUCACUGGACAGCGGUGAAAAACAUUCUUAAGUACUUGAGAAGGACUAAAGAUAUGUUCCUCGUCUAUGGAGGUCAGGAGGAGCUCGUUGUAACAGGUUACACCGAUGCUAGUUUCCAAACCGACAGAGAUGAUUCAAAGUCACAAUCAGGAUUUGUGUUCACACUGAAUGGUGGUGCUGUUAGUUGGAAGAGUUCCAAGCAGGAGACGGUGGCCGAUUCUACGACGGAAGCCGAGUACAUCGCGGCUUCGGAAGCCGCGAAGGAAGGUGUUUGGAUUAGGAAUUUCCUCAUUGAGCUUGGUGUGUUCCCGAAUGCGUCCAGCCCAUUGAAUCUCUACUGUGAUAACAAUGGGGCAAUUGCGCAAGCAAAGGAGCCAAGGAACCACCAGAAGAACAAACACGUAAUGCGGCGAUUUCAUCUCAUUCGAGACUUCAUUAACCGGGGUGAGAUCAAGAUAUGCAAAAUACACACGGAUCUGAACAUUUCUGAUCCGUUGACAAAACCACUCCCGCAGGCUAAGCAUGAUGCGCAUGUAAGAGCUAUGGGUAUUAGGUACCUUCUAGAUUGACUCUAGUGCAAGUGGGAGACUGUUGGAGGUAUGCCCUAGAGGCAAUCAUAGAGAUGAUGAUAUUCCAUUUGUAUCCAUGAUUUGUAUAUUGUGUUCAUUGAAUAUCCAUUAAAGGCUACUUGAAUUGAUUUGCAAUUAUGUGAAUUGUAUGUGAAACUCUUUACUUGUAUGGUUAUUCUAAAGUUGUCCCUAGUCGGAGUUCAUGUGAGGACACACAUGAAUAUCAGACUAGCACAUGUAUUAGUUGAUGACUAUGUUUCACAAGUCAUGGACAUGGAGAUGUUGAACUAAUAAUGUGGACACAUGUGGAGACAUGUGUUAGGACUGACCCAACACGAGAAGUAGUUCUCUCUUUAAACAACAUAUACGCUUUGUCCUUAGACCUGAGAUUGUCGCAUGUAUUCUAGAUGUGGAUCGACCUACUUAGGGGCUAUCAAACGCUACGCCGUAACAGGGUAGUUAUAAAGGUAGCUUUCGGGUUUGUCAAGAAGCAUGCUAUGAGACAUGGUCAAUCAAGAUGGGAUUUGCCCCUCUCUGAUUGAGAGUGAUAUCUCUGGGCCCCUCGAGUGAUCGGAUCCGAAAAUGCAUGGCCAUGCUACGUACGGUUAAGAGUUAACCUACAAAGGGAUUCCGAAUCACAGGAUCGAGAAAGAGCGGUCAGCUUGAAGCUAGACCAAAUAUCGUGAGGCAAAGGGAAUAGCAUGUAUAUUAUGUUGUGAUGGUUCGUCUGAUAUGAUCUUCGUAUGCGUAUAGGAGUUGGCACGUCUUGCUAGAGGCCGCUACCGACUAUUGGGCCGAGUAGGAGUACUCGGGCCAUGUCUAUACGUAUCCAAACCCAUAGGGUCACACACUUAAGGGGCUGGAAGCCCAAUUCGGAUCUGAUCCGAGUUGGAUUAGGUUUAGGAGUGCUAAUGGGCCUCGGAUCCAGAGGCCCAUCAGGAACCUCUAUAAAUAGAGGGGUGGGGGCGCCCUAGGGUUUACACCUUUUGGCUGAACACACUUGCCGCGCCUCCCACGCCCUCGCCUGUUGCAACUCGCGGAUCUAGCAAUCCGGCUUGCGACGCUUCCUCCCUGCACGUGUGGAUACCUUGGAGGUGUUGCGCCUGCAGCACUUGGACGAGCCAUCGACGAGCCGCCGACGAGCCACGACGAGCCGCGGCACCGGAGGCGAUCUUGCUGUGCACGUGGACGAGCUGCUGAGGAGCCGCUGGACGUGAUCGACUACGUACGACUACGUUGUUCGACUACGUACGACUACGUGAUCGUCUUCACUGCACCGACGCAUAUCUACAUCUUCCGCACCAGUAGUGCGUCGAGUGGUAAUCCCGUGAUCCUUAUACGGCAGUUCUUCCUGGUUAUACGCGGUAGAUUUUUGUUUUGCGCUAGCGUAGCCUACCUCGUAUCCCUACAGCGUCAACGCCAUAACAAAUGCUCCUCAACCGCAAUCGUGCCGUACGAAAGCAAGCGCACCAAAAAUCUCCUAGAUGAUCGGCAACUUUGAAAUUAUGUGUUGGAACGUGAGAGGCCUAAAUGCCCCCGCUAGAUGUCUAACAAUCCGUGAAACUAUUGCGACGACAACGUGCCACAUAGCAUGUCUGCAAGAAACGAAGUUGCAAAAUAUUGACGCGGCCCUAGCAAACCUCCUGGGGGGACCUCGUUUAAAUCAAUUUACAUACAAACCGGCUUCAGGCACAAAGGGAGGAAUCCUCCUCCUCUAGGAUGACAGGGUCUUCGACAUGCAGAACAUCCAAACGGGGGCAUUUCUCUAUAUCAGCAACAGCAACAGUAAAAUACUAUGACAUGCACUUUCGACUCACGACGGUAUACGGCCCAUCACGACACUCGGCAAAGACUACUUUCCUACGCCACCUAUGGGCCAUGAGACCUGACGAUGACGCCAAGUGGCUCGUACUAGGCGAUUUCAACCUAAUAUACAGCGCAAGAGACAAGAAUAACAACAACCUAAACCGGAGGCUAAUGAGGAGUUUCAGAGCAACGCUAAAUCACUGCGGCCUCAAAGAAAUACACUUACAAAACAGGAUUCACCUGGAGCAAUGCAAGGCAUCGACCAACCUUAUCGCUGAUCGACCGAGUCUUCUGCAACGAACCUUGGGACCUAAACUUCGAUGAUCAUGUCCUACACGCCCUCUCUUCCUCACACUCGGAUCACUGCCCUUUGCUACUGGCACAACAAUCUGGUCCUCGUAAGCUGACGCCUUUUAAAUUUGAAAACUUCUGGCCGCGCUUACUAGGAUUCUAUGAAGUAGUCACCCAGGAAUGGUCAAAGGCAACGGUCCACACUGAACCAUUCCACAGACUGGGACACAAGCUGCACAAAACGGCCCAAGCACUGCGAUCCGGGAGCCGAUUGCUCAUCUCGGAUGCCCAAUUAAAAAUGCACAUGGUCCAAGAAGUCAUCCUGCACCUCGAUAUAGCUGAGGAAACAAGAACACUCACUGAACCGGAACACGACUUGCGUAGCAAGCUCAAAAAAAGGCUCCUGGGAUGGGCGGCCCUAAAAAAAAAUAAGGAAAAAACAAUGCUCCAAGAUAACCUACCUGCGCGAGGGCGACGCUAACACAAGGUUUUUCCAUCUCAAGGUGAACGCUAGAAAGAGAAAAAACUUCAUCCAACGGCUAAAGAAAGAAAGCGGCUGGGCAGUAACUCACCUAGACAAACAGCAGGUAAUCCAAAAUCACUUCGAAAGCGUGAUGUCCAUGCCAACCACUCGCGCCAAAGAUAUAAAUUGGGACAAGUUGCAAUUCCCAGAGGUGGACUUAACGGAAUUGACAACCCUUUUUCGGACGAGGAAAUACUACAAGCAAUAACUGACUUGCCAAAAAACAAAGCGCCGGGACCGGACGGCUUCACUGGUCUGUUCUUCAAAUCGUGCUGGAACAUAAUCAAAGGUGAUGUCAUAGCGGCUGUAAACGCCUUCCACAGCGUCCGAUGCAAGGACCUCAAUCUAGUCAACUCAGCCAACAUUGUCCUUAUACCCAAAAAGGAGGGUGCCGAAAGCAUCAGGAACUUUAGACCAAUAAGCCUCAUACACGCCAUUGCAAAGAUCAAUAGCAAAAUCCUUGCAAUAAGACUACAGCCGUAUAUGGAGGAACUGAUAUCACCAAGCCAAAGCGCCUUCAUCAAAGGAAGAAGCAUUCAUGACAACUUCAUGUAUGUCCGAAACAUGGUGCGCCGAUUUCACAAGUACAGAACGCCAACACUGCUAAUGAAGCUGGACAUCUCAAGGCCUUUGACUCCGUGCGCUGGGAUUACCUACUCUCACUAAUGCAACAUAGAGGCUUCCCCAAGCGCUGGCGGGACUGGAUAACUGCACUACUGGCCACAUCCACCUCAAAAGUCCUGGUCAAUGGACUCCCGUCCAACCCAAUCGCACAUGGACGAGGACUACGACAAGGAGACCCGUUAUCCUCCUUCCUCUUCAUCCUUGCGAUAGACCCACUGUACCAACUAAUACACAAGACGACGGAAAUGGGACUACUCAACAAGCUCGGAGGACGUACACCACGCACAAGCAUCUCCAUGUAUGCUGACGACGCGGUCAUAUUUAUAAAACUGACACAAGCGGACGUCGCAAACGCAGCAAAGUUGUUGAACCUUUUCGGAGAGGCAACUGGGCUUAAAAACAAACCUACAAAAGACAAUUGUGGCUCCCAUCAGCUGCGAUAACGUGGACCUCGAAGAAAUUCUCUCAGAGUUGCCGGUAACUCGCACAGGCUUCCCAAUAAGAUACCUCGGACUACCACUUGCGAUAAGGUGCCUAAAGAAACUAGAUUAUCAGCCCCUAAUGGACAAAGCAGCACAUAAGCUUUCCGGAUAGCACGGACACAACCUUACUCAAGCAGGACGGGUUUGCCUCACCAAAGCGGUGCUUUCCGCGCAACCAUUAUACCUGCUAACGGUAAUAAAAAUGCCAAACAAAGUACUAGACGAACUAGACAAAAUAAGGAAAAGAUUCCUCUGGGCCGGAGACAAAACGCUCACAGGUGGAAAAUGCAAGGUCAACUGGAUCAAAUCCUGCUUACCAAAAGCAAAUGGCGGGUUAGGAGUGCUAAACCUCCACAAGUUUGCUCAAGCGUUGAGACUGCGAUGGCUUUGGCACGAGUGGGAGUCACCGCAAAAAAACAUGGACUGGAACAGGGACACCAUGCGACGACACGGACCAUCGCUUGUUCGCGGCAUGCACAACAAUCACAGUGGGUAAUGGACGCAAAACAAGCUUCUGGCAUUCAGCCUGGGGCAAGGUGUUAGACCAAAGGACAUUGCGCCCAACAUAUAUGCACUAUCCGAGGGGAAAAAAGAAAGCUAGCAGAGGCCUUAUGCGACAACAGCUGGGUUAGGGACAUAAACAUUCACGGAGGACUGACAACGCGGCAUCUACAAGAAUUUGUAACACUCUGGCGUCUAGCAGCAAUGGUGCAGCUGCAACCGCAACAGAAAGACACAAUUCGAUGGAAGUUCACGUCCACCGGAAAAUAUUCAGCGGCCUCAGCAUACAAGGCACAGUUCCUAGGAUCCACUAAUGCACCACAUUACAAAACAAUAUGGUAUUGCUGGGCGCCCCGAAGUGCAAGUUCUUCGCAUGGCUAAUCCUCCAAAACCGUGUAUGGACAUCCGAUCGACUUGCGCGAAGAGGAUAGCCUCACUCCCCUGCAUGCCCCUUAUGCCGAGCACAACAGGAGACGGCCCAUCACCUAGUGGCUGAGUGCAGAUACACCAAGCGAAUAUGGAGCCUAGUAGCCACAUGGACGUCGCAGCCAAGCAUACAACCCUCAGAAUGGCGUCCAACCGACAACACCCUGGAAUGGUGGAUGAACAUGACUACAAAAACCGAAGCUACUCGGAAGGGAACAUGCUCCAUGGCGUUGCUGGUUAUAUGGGAAAUUUGGAAGGAGCGGAAUAGGCGAAUAUUCAACCGACAAGAGAUGGCAGCACUCUCACUGGUGGCCAAAAUCAAGGAGGAAGCCGGUGCAUGGAUACUAGCAGGAGCAAAAGCUUUAGCGGGUUUUUCAUCUAGAGAGUAAUCGUGUAACGAGUGUACAAAUUUUGAAACACUUCUGUAAUCAUCUACUCUAUCAAUGAAAUAGGCAUUGUCCCGUGCCCAUUCGUUCAAAAAAAAAGAUAGUAAGUAUUGGACUAUAUAUUGGUCUUUCAUGCAAUAUGCACUUCAUUCGUGAUGAAGGCAUCUCAAGGAACUACUGUGGACGGACCUAGUUGCUACAUAUAGUUUUUUUUUUCCGAAAGGAUGGCAAGAGAUUUGCUGCGAAUUUUAUUAGAUGAGAAAAAAAACAAAAAGAAGAUUGGUACAGAGAUCCCCGAGAAAUAUAGAUGACUCGACUAAAGAGUUCACAUAAUUGUAAUGGUGCAUUUGCAAUAUGACUACAUCAUGACAUCAUAACCUACUGAAAGCUUGAAUAUAAUUCUACAUUUCAACUUUUGUACUCGCUAGAAAUAAAUGGAGCAUCGUAAAAUUGUAUUAAAAAACAAAUAAGCCUUUGGGGUCAGAUUUUUUGUUCAAAAAUUCCUCUGGAGUCUUUGCUGGGCUUGGCUAAAUUAGGAAUAUGAUAUGGCCUCUUCGCCGAGUUGACACGACAUGCCACAUCUGUGUAGCGGUGGGUACACACACAGGAGGGAAAUACGUUUCAGGGGAGGAAAACGGGGCCCAUUAAGCAGCCCCAGAUGAACACCCUGUCCAUUCAAUCCACCAUAAAACACCCCGUUGUAACUCCCACUAGCACGAUAAAAAGGGCAGGCGCCACCGGUCGUGCCUCUUGUUUAACGCAGCUUCACAUCCCUCACUGUUCCCUUCGCUACCACACGCUAGGCAAAUGGAAGAUGAGAGGAAGAGAACCAAGCUCCGCAAAUCCUUGCAGCUCUACCUUAGCAGGACGCUCAAGAAGAUCCCGCCGAUGCACAUCCCCAGCUCGGCCAUUCCAGCGAACAUCGCCGGCGCUCGCCUCCUCUCCACAUGCAGGUUCCCAAGAACCGCGUCGGUGGACAUGGACGGCGGCGUGAUCACCGCCGCCACGACCGCCGCCGUUAACGAGAGCGGCAAGGAGCAGGCGGCAACGCUCUCCGACGUCGACCGCUUCCUCUUCGACAACUUCCGGUCCCUCUACAUCCACGACAACAACAACAAAGAUCCAUGCUUCCCGUCAUCGUCGCCAGGCACAUCCACAUCGCUUGCCGACGAGACACAACCAAAGGCAGAGACGUUGUCUUCGUCGGAGUCGAUCGCGGAAGACAUCAACAAGGAAGCCUGCAGGGCAGGUGAGGAGAGCGGCGACAACACGGCCAUAGUGGUGUUCUCCAUGGACCCGUACACAGACUUCCGGAGAUCCAUGGGGAACAUGAUAAAGAUGCACCAUGGCCGCAUAUCACAGCCACUGGACUGGGACUUCCUUGAGGAGCUGCUCUUUUACUACCUGCAGCUCAACGAUCAGGCUGUGCACAAGCACAUCCUCAAGGCCUUUGCUGACUUGACUGCCGGAACUCAUCAAAAGGGCAGUUCAGCCCCUGGAAAAGCCCAGUGGGCUGACAAGAGCGUUAGGAGUAGGAAACGUUAGUUCGGAUGGACGGAUGGUAACUGUUAAUUCAGAAAUUGUACAACUCAAAAGCAAGAAAUGACAUCCAUUCAGUGUUUUGUGCUUGCUCUUCAAGGGUACAGGCAUGAAACAGCAAGCAGCAUGCUGCAUUUCAACCUUCAAGUUUCCGGACACUCGGUCAACUGACCAUACUACAGAAGAGAAUCAAUUUGGGGGGCGAAUCAGAUUUGAGCAGCAGGCAGAUAAAAAGAGGAAGCUAACUUAACCCUCCUAACAGUUUUACAGCAUACAUCAAGAAUGCUUUGAUUCAUGAUCCAAUCAUCAUACGGGAGGCUGCUCAUGGUAUUCUGCGUUUAACAGCAAAGUAUCACAGGAUGCCAUCAUGUUGUUUCAGCCAUUGAGUGACAUAUCAUAAAGCAUACUUCUAUUACCCAGAAGGCAUAAUUCCAACUGUGAAGAGAAGAAAAUACAGCCACAGACAAGUAAUAUAUAAACAAAUACAGCACUGGAUCUGAAUUUUUUUACAUUGAAUAAGCUAAACCUUGCCGAUCAGAAGUUUAUCAUAUUAAUAAAUAUACCUGCAAUUGUCUGCAAUUCAGCUUGAUAAAAAAAACAGGACGAUCUUUUGUCAGAGGAACUUGAUAGACUUAUUUCUCAGGAAUACAAGGGGAAAAUUAAAUUUCAUGCGGGCAUAGACAUGAAGGAUGAUAUGGCAAGAGUGUAACCAGAAAAGGUAUAGGAAGCCUGAAUUCCCAUUAUAUUUGAAAAAGGUCAAUGGAUCCUCUUCUUAUGUGCUUAACAAGCUUAAAGUGGAUUUUGGCAUGUGCUUUUUUUUCCUCGGAUUCCAGAACUGCCAUAUCACAUUCUAAAAAUAAUUGCAUGCAUCUCAAGAAUGUGAGCAUGUUCUGUUGACAAAUAGUUAUGUGUCAAGUACAACUAGCCCUGCAGUUAUCACUAAUAAAAAUAUGAUGCAUAAACAACAGAAGUGCCUUUAUACAAGAGAAAAGGCUGUCAUCAUGCACUGCAAACACUAUAUUUUUGAACAAGCUGCUCGUAUAAUGGAAGAUGGUUCUUUGGAACAAAAACCCUGAACCUGUAAAGGAAAGGGGAACAAUUGGGUAUAAACAAAGGUGCAGUAGCAUGAGGGAACAAACAGCAAAGGAAGAUUCAAUAACAAGUGAAAAUGCCAAGAAAUGUAAUGUUACCCUUCAAGAAGUGGAAGUCUUCCUGGAGAGGAGAAAAGCUUUGCUAUUGCUUCAAGUGAGUCUUUGAUAUGCAUAGUUUUCAAUUUUAAGGCCUUCAUAAAUUCAACAAACUCUUUGUACUCUGCGCCACUAAGCUUUUCUCGAGCCUAGUAAACAUACCCAAAUUGAAGGAACAACAAUGUAAAUGAUGCAAAGAUUAUCAUAUUAACAAUAUAGCAUUUAUUCUACAAAGCAUGACAUGAGAUCCAAGUACAGUGAAAGAGCAGCAUACCAGCCUCAAGAAGGCUGUCCCUGAGUUAGAUUCCUGGCCUUCAGAUUUUUCACAGAUACCCUCAUUCUUUCCACAUGCUUUUUCUGUGGUACAUUUCUUUGAUUGAGGUGUAGAUCCUUCACCCUGGUAUCUGGCCAAAGUUCUUGACUCAAUAUUUUGAGGUGAUUUGGCAGAGAUGUCAUCCGAGCCAACAGCAUCUUUGGAUCUAUCCAUUAGUUUAGCCUUUUUAAGCCCUAAAGGUUUGAAGGUAUGUUCCUUCAGAUGCCCAUGUACUGCCACAUCAUCAGUCAUAUUAACAACCUUAGUAUCCUGUGACAGUUGGUCUUCAGAGAAGAGCUGCGACAUCGAUGUAGAGUUGUGCUUUGUAGUAAGGGUAGAACGAUUGGCAGGAGUGAUCUGAGCCAACUUCAUAAAGUUACUCCUCUUCGUGGUCGAACUUACUGAUAAUGUAAUUUGUGGGCACUCAUUUUGUGCCCUGGCAGCCUAGCACAAGAAAGACAGCAUCUGUAAGCCAAAGGGGCAUUAAACUAAAUCAUGCUCAGCUAUGUCAAUGCAAUGGAUUUACCGAAUCUGAUAGAUUCUCUUGAGGCAUGCAUUUGUUUGUAACUGGUGCUAUACAAUCUGCAUGUAACAACAUUUUCAAAACAAGUAGCACAUAAAUAACAAUUGCUAAGAGAAAUAGCAAAGCAGCACAAAGAGAAGUAAUUAAAUGCCAAAUUUCCAUAUUGCAUUCUGUCAACAAAAUUAAACAAAUCAAGUGAGGCUGCACAAAAUUCUGGUUGUCCUUUUAUAUAGUUGCAUUGCAUAUACAAAAAAAAACACAGUUUGGAUCACAUAACUCAUGCUGUAGAUAUUCAAAACAUAAUCAACACCAUUCGGUGGAGUAGAGCUGGCACUGUGUUUCUAUCUGUAGAGAAACUCUUGCUGGGAUCAUAAAUAUAAGAAACUGAAAUAUGUAUAAUCAUGAAUUGAAUUAUUCUUUCUUCUGAGUCAUAGGUUGAUUCGUACCUUGCACAGCUAUAAAUUAGAUUAAAUGUUGUUCAAAUUAUGUAUUCAAAUUUGACAAAAAUCCUUCUCAGUUACAAGCACAUCAUGAGGAACUAAAAAUGGCAUUUUAAAUUACAAGCAUACAAGAUGCAAAAUUUGAAUCCCCACAGCUUGCUAGAAAAUAGAAAGGAGUGUAAGCCCACAGGCAUCAAUUUGGUAAAAGGCAGCCACUGUAGGUGAAUUUUGUUGAUUUAGUCCCGUUCUGUUCAAGUUUGUAAAUCAAGCCCUUCUAGCUCACUGCUAUUUUCUUGAUCCUAAACUUCCUACAUAUAUCUAAAUGGGCCCUUACAAACAUAUGGCUAGUGAAUUAAUGGCACUUCUACUAAUACUAACAUGGAGUUGUGGACUGUUAUCUCAAGUUUGACAGGGUAACCUCCUACAACCCUUAACAAAUAUCAUUAACAAGCACACUGGGUUAAGUUUCAAAAGGAAAUUACUUAAAAUAUUUAAGUGUAUGUGAACUUGUGUAUAAAAAAGAUAGAAACAGAUAAAGAAGUCUAUCACACUAUUCAAAACUAUAUCUUUACCAUUACAAUCUGUUUGUUUUAGCUUUAAAGGAUCUGAAGUAGCUUUAUCUCGAAAAAAACGGGUCAAUCCUUGGACUACUUCCCCAUACUUUGAGUAGCACUGCAGAAAGAAUAUAAAGCAUAGUAAAGAUACCAGCAAAGAGCAUUGUAGGAAGACAGUAAAUAAAUGCACCUUUAUAUAAGGUCGGAGCCAAUACGACAUCUGAGAUUGAUAAUUUGACCACGCAAACCUAUAGCCAACAUGCAAUGUAAAGCAACUUUGUUAAUUUGAAAUGCUAAUUGUUCUGUAGAAGUUUGACUGAAACAAGCAACAUGGUUCGAGAUGCAAAAGCUUGUGCAUAACCACAUGUUCCUUAAAAUUGCAUACUUAGCUAAAAAAAUGGAAAGACUAUUUUGAGAUUUUUAAAGUGUUGAUCCUUUUUGGGUAUCACUCUAGGGAUUACAAUAUGGAACCUAAAGUGUAGUACACUGAUUGCAACAUACAUGAAUAACAGAAAAAAAAAGUGAACUCUUUCUUGGUUUCAAUAGGACUCCUUAGGGCAGCUCCAGAGUGCGAUUUUAGGAGGUGCGAAGAAGAGAGAGAAAAUGGUUGAGGAGGUGCAAACGUUGGAGCGUUUUUCUUCGGGUAAAGCUAACGAAGCACCGGAGCCUGAAUAUGCACCCAGUGUGAGCGGAAAAGGCAUAGCACGGGACCCGCCACAGCAUGCAAACAGAGAGAGAUAGUGCGCAUGGUUGAUGGGGGAAGAGUAUUUUAUCUCUACUAGGGCCCACAUUUAGAAUUCUUAAGCAAACCAAACGCUGGAGCGUUUAUUUACUUUCAAAGCACCUGCUGACCUGCCUCCCUUUGCACCCUGUGUAAAGGAUAUACGCUAUAGUUGCCCUUAAUGUUCUCUCUGUAUCUAGUACUACCUCCGUUCUUAAAUAUAUGAUGCCAUUGACUUUUUUCAUUAGUUUGACUAUUCGUCUUUUCUACAAAAAAUUAUGCAAAUAGUAAAUCUACAAGUUAAACCAAAAGUCCUUUCGAUGAUAGAUCCAGCAGUAGAGUACCCAUUUUACAUUAUUUAACUAAUUGAUUAAAUAAAUAUUGUUAGUCAAAGUUUGAGAAAAAAAGUCAAUGGUAUCAUAUAUUUAAGAACGGAGGGAGUAUUAACUAAAAAAAUCAAAUUAUAAUGACUGGACAAAACCAAGAAACAACUCCUUAUGUGUGAAAUGUCACGGCAGGUUGCGCCGACCAUGACCGAAAUUAUAGCAGAUCCCCUUUGAGAUCAAAGACUGUGCUAGCAUCUACUACACCAGGAACAUCAAGAAAUAUUUGACAGCCCAGCACAAUAAAUAACAGAUUUCUGUGGAAGUCGAGCACAAAACCAACAAUGCUUAGAUUCCUUGCUUAGAGGACUAUAAUUAGGCCUACCUUUCGUCACAAUAGAUAAUAGCUCCAUAGUCAUGGCGAUGUCUGAUAACACGUCCAACAGCCUGAUUCACAGCCCUUGCUGCUUGUUGUGUAUACCAUUCCUGUCCUGUCAACAUCUACAAAACAAUCACAAGAACUUUUUGUAAAAUUGACCAGCAAAGGUCCGCUUGACAAUUUACUAUGAAAUUAUUGAACCUUUGUGUUAUUAUUAGAUGCUGCGCCCUGCUUAUCCAAAUACUCACGCUUCAGCCGAACCUGGAACAGACACAAAGGAAAAUUGCAAGAUUAACUAGGCCAAUUACUCUUGCCGAAAGCCAAAGAGCAUAAAAGUUUGUGCAAUAUGGUAAAAAGCUCGUGCAGGUUAAUGAGCAAGGAAGCAAAGAAAAAAGUAUUUUAUCAGAAGAAAACCCAAAAAAUGAUGACAAAAUCCUUCCAGACUUAGCAUUAAUUCAACUUAUCCAAAAACCCAAUGAAGUAUGUGUGUGUGAAUAUCUACACAUGAACCCAGCUCAACAUACAAAGCCAGCAAAAUUGAAUAUUUUCGGUACAUAAUUGCCAGUGCCAAACGCACCAAUAGGAAAGUAACAAAAGGGACAUUCUUGCCUUUUAGAAAAGUUUUAGUUAGACAAUUCAGCAUAAUACAGAUAGAAAUAAACCUUAGGAUCAGUUGGGGUAGCAAAGGGCAUUCCAGUAACUAUUACUGCCCUCCCAGCACGGUCAGCAAAAUCAAGACCCUCACUAACCUGUGAAAGUACAAAAAUGCAUAAAUGAGGGAGGUAAACUUAAAGAUUAGCGAAAAAAGAAACAUUUUGGGAGUGGUACUCCCAGCACACAGGAGAGCUACGUAUCAUUAUAUUAACAAGAAGACAGGAUUUGGAACCCAUACAACACCACACAAUUGUACUAUUUGGCCCCUGCCAUAAUUUGAGACUUUUUUGUUCCAUUAGUACACUAUUUGGCCCCUGCCAUCAAAUUAAACUGACUUAGAAAAUUACCCCCGUCCUUUUUUCGUCAUCAAUUCUUUUGUGACCCCGCCAUUGUUUACUUCUAUAGCUCAAUGACUUGUAUUUUACUCAUAAGAUCAGAAAUAAGCCUUCUGUGUUCAUGGUCUCGUACUCAUCCUUUCCGCAGAGCAUUAACGAAAUUUUUAGCUUUAUAAAUGUAAUGCAUUUAUCAUCAUUACAGCACCCAAAGAUUUACUAUAUGCUGUUAAGCAUGUUUUAUCUUUCAGCAGACAAAAAAAGAAGUAAGCAUAGCAGUUAUAAAAAAUAAAUUUGAAUCAUACAGACUUGCAAAAAAAAUCAUUCAACACAAGAACAUUGAAAGUGAACCUAAAAUCAAGAGAAGUUGGAACAGAAAGCAAAGGAAGCUGUUACGGUGAAAAAGAACAAACUUUGCCACGACAAACUGCAAAAAAUAUUGCCCCAGAAGUAGAAGAAUCAUUUAAUUUCGCUGCAUAAUCCUGCAAAUCAAAUGGUUCACAAUUAUAUGAGCAUAUGAAGUGUUUAAAGUUCAAGUGUAUGUAGUAACAUAUUUCAUAACCUCAAUUGCAUUUGGAAAGUUUGAUGACUGCCUAGGCUCUAUAACUGGCUGCUUGUGCUUACAGAUUCGCUGCCAUAUCGUGUUCUCAGCUGCUGAACUUGAAUGGUUCUGUAAGAGAUUAAAUUAUAAAUGUCUAAGGAUAAGUACUUCAAGUGAUUAGAACUAUGAGUCAGAAAUUAGGAAUACCCUAUUUUUCCAGAAUUCGAUGCACUUAUCCAUCAUAGAAUAUGAAGGGAAGAAAACAAGGAGUCCGUCUGGCACAAUGCGUGCGAAGUUUACUGUAAAAUGAGCAAAUAUGUCAGCAGAACUAUAUCAGAAUAAAAGCAACUGAAUUUUGUUACUAUUGGCCUACCUAUAGCAUUACCCAAUUCUUGUUUAUAUUGUAUAGUCUCACGCGUGCGAUAAGAAGAAUUAAGUGCAUGUCCAGAAGGGCCCACAGGCACAACUCCAACCCAGAUUUGAUCUGGGGAAAUGACAUGAGGAUUCUCUAGUCUAACUGGGAAUUCACUGGAUUCAUGGAAAACUUAUCUUGAUAAUCAACAUCAAAUAGAGAAACCAAUAUCGAUAAGCAACCAACAAAGCUAUAAGUCAACGAUAACGAUUAACUAAAUAGAUUUGCUUACAGGUUUAGUUCCAUGGCUAGUGAAUCCAGGGGGGAUAAAGUGCCAGAAGUUAAUAUAAUAGAGCGAACACCCAACUUGAGAAAUUCUUCCAUUGCGAGCCCUGGGUUGAAACACCACCAACUAAGGGUUCUUGAAGAUUUACCUGCGAAUACAAGAAAAUUGUAGACAAUUGGAUGUAUAGUUAUUCAGUUGCUGAGGAGGCUAAGUAAAGAGUACACAUUAUCUUAUUUGAAGGGACCAUGUCUGAUAGGAAUCAAUGUAAUUAUUCUAAGCAUGCAGUUUAGAAUUGAGCAAUGAAAUGUACCAUGUAUCACAUGUGUUUUUUCCUUUAAAUAAUCAACUAUAUCUGGAAGAAGUCAGUGGAAUAAUACUAUGCAUGCUGUCCAUAGUGAGCAAUGAACUGUAUCAGGGAUUACAGACUUUUUCGUUCAUAUAAAGAACAUAUGUUACAUAUCAACUUUGAACUUACCCAGAACUUUCAAUGCGUCUCCAGAUGUUUGCUGAAAUUCGUUCACAUGAAACUGGAAAGAUUGAGUAUGAUCGUAAGAGUACAGUAAAGUAUGCAAAGCUUAUGCUGCAAAUACAAAUAGAGAGGGUUGGAUGGAAAUAACUUAAUUGGAUGAACACACAUUGAAAAUGAAUGGAUUAUGCGAUCAGAGAGAAACACAGAACUGAAGAGAAACUUACUCGAUAAUAUUUUGCAUGGUCUUGACCACCGCCCCUAAAAAUUAUGUCUAAAAUUUCCCUAAUCGACUCCAAUCUAGACACUGUGGUCUUUGCUUGGACCCCUGGUCCAGUUUCAGCGGAAUUUCCUAAAUAUGCAGGACCAAAACACAUUACUGAACCACUUUGCAUGAACCAUCGAGAUAUUUGUUAAAAGUUCAAUGUGUUCAACUAACACGACAGAGGCACAGAACUCCCAAAAAUGGACAACUUUGACCCCCACUAAUUAUCAAGAAUAAUAGUGUAUUGUAAUAUAAAGAAUAAUACCAGAAAAAUCAAUUACCUUCCUCUAGGAGUAGUGAAGCACAAUCAAUUGUCUCAAUUAGUUUUUUGGAUGUGUCUGAUGUGAUAUUCAGUUCAGAGAGAAAAUCGUAUAUGUAACUCCCAGCUUUUGUGUAACCCAACUCCUUGGAUUCAAUUACCAACUCACCAAUUUUUUUCUCAAGUGCCAUUAAGAGAGCUGGAAAGAAUGUUUUGAUAGUACCAACAGGGGAUCACUGUCAAAAUCCUCGAAGUAAAGGUACAGGCUUCCACAUAAGAACAAAAUAAAGGCAUAGGAGUACAGAAUCACGUGGAUCCAAGUACAACUUCGAGAAGUUGAAAGAAUUUUGGUUCACCUUUGAGGAUUGCAUAAUUUUCAGGGUCAAAUUGUUUAUCAGCAGAAUUUUCAAUGGACCUCUUUGCUGAACACAGUUUGAUGCAUUCAUGAGCUUCUGCCACACAAGCAGUUAAGUUAUUUGGAUGUAAGUCAAAAGAGGCUGCAUCUGCGCAUAUACUCUCCUGCAUAAAAGAGUUAUGGUAAAUUUAAGUCCAAAGUAUGGCUGCUUUUGCAUUCAGAAUUCUCAAUUUAAGGCCAUUAUUGAGAGUUCAGUAACCAAUUAAACAGAAGGAGCCCCUUACCAAGUUGUGUGCUUCGUCAAAUAUAAGUACCGCAUUGUCCCAUGGUAUGCUAUUUAAGGAACGACGGUUUCCCGGAUCAAUAAGAUAGUUGUAUGGAGCAAACAAGAUGUCAACUGACUUCGAAAGUUCCCGGGAGAUGUAAUAUGGGCAUCUAAAAUAAUAAAGAAAAGAUGCCACUAGUGGGUCAAAAAAAUACAUAAACACGCUUGCCAUUUAUCUAUAAAGAUGGAAAUUACAGAGAAAAAAUAUGAAACUUACGGGCCGUUAGGUUUCCCUUUCCCAAUAUUAACCAAAUCUUCAAUGUCAAAAGGCUUGCUCCCAAGCUCAGGUUUGUUUUUCAUGAACUCUGCAGGAAGUGCCAUUCAUGAGCAAUAUAUGGUUAAUUGAUGACAUUUGCUUUGUUUAGAAUAAGAAGGAAAACUAAGUAGCUAAAGGUGGACAGGUCUCCCACUUGAAGAGUCAUUUGCAAGAAUCAAAUAAUAAUCAUGGUAUUCAGUGAGAUACACCUUGUAUCAAUCAGAAUGGAUCAAGGUACAGGCAAGAAUUAUGCAUGUGUGUUUUCUUUUAUGGUUGCCAUUUAUCUUGGUGUGCAGCCUGCAGGGCCAAUUUUAUGGCUUAUCUAAUAAAGAACAAUUCUGUUGCAAUUACCAGCGACAACAUUAUUAUGCUGGCACCGGCGUUUCUUGCAGAGGAAGUGGCAGGCAUUGUUCUGUGCUCUUCCACGGAGUUUGCUCACUUCGCUGUGGAUGCACAUCUGCUCGCGGGAGCCCAGCACUGCCAUUUUCGGCCUGUGAAACAUUAUGCACCAAAUCACCAAAUCAAUUAUGAGCCAUCAGAGGUUCUGAGAUCAGUCAAUCUACAACUGCAACUAUUGAAGACAGUUCCAGCCCUCAGCUCCAUGGCAUUCAUGAGAAAUUACUUGACAGCACACAGUCCGACACAAUUAGCUCUCAAAUAAGAACAGGGUACUGAAGAACAAGUUCAGUUGCUGACCUGUAACUGGUGGCCUUGAGCUCCUUGAUGACCUGCCGGAGCUGGCUGUGCGUCCGGGAGGCGUAUAUGAUCACGGGGUACCCCGAGUGCUGCUGCUGAGACGCGGGGUACCCCGAGUGCUGCUGCUGAGACUCGGGGUCCCCCGACUGCUGGCUCCCGAGCGGCUGGCUCCCGUAGUGCAGCUGCUGGCUCCCUCCGCCGCCGCGGCCGCCGCCGCGACCGCCCCGCAGGAACUCGCCGAAGGUGCGGCGCCACGCGAGCGAGGCGCACAGCAGGCACAGCGUCUUCCCCGUCCCCGUCGGGCUCUCCAGCAGCGCGUUCUUCCCCUGGCCAUCGAUCCGGCGGGGAGGCGCGAGCACGAAGCAGUCAGAACCGAGCCAAAUUUUUGGUAGGGUUUAGCGCGUCGAUUUGGAGGAUUUGGCAGCGGGGGGGAUUGCUUACCUGUUGCAGGGACUCGAUGACGCGAUCCAUGUAGGUGAUCUGGCAGUCAUAGGCAUCGAAGGGGAAGUCGACAUCGACGCCGCGAAUGCUGUAGACCGGCAUUUCGCCGCCGGAGGCGGUAGAGGCGGCGGCGGGAGGAGGUGUGGGCGGGAAUGGGGCAAGGCUUGCGAGGGAAGGAGUCCGAGAGUGCGCGCCGAAGAGGAAGAGGGGUUUUGGUCACCCAAGAGGCCGAGACGGCGUUGUUGGACGGUCGCGGAACCACACACAUGGGCCGCAUCGCACGGACAGGGGCUGCUGCAGUCCGAAUUCCCGGUUUGAACAGAACCCUUUCUCUUUUUUUUUCUUUUUCUUUUUUUUUUUUGAAGCGGGGUUUGAACAGAAACUUAGCAAGGCCCGCGACGCAAUUACCGUGUUACUCAAAAUAAAAUCUGAUACAUUUUCUUUCUUAAGGAAAACCUUAUUUCACUUUUGGCUUAAGGAUCUGAGAAGAGUCUCUGUGUGCUAAAGAAACAAAAGUAUUUUUUUCAUGCUUAAUUAUCAUAGACCUACCCCCUCAAAAAAAUUAUCAUAGACCUACGAAUAAAUUGUUAAAAGCGCCCACAAAAGUGUAAAAUGUGGGAUGUUUAACCGUAAAUUACUGCUGAUAUAAUAAAAAUUAGUUCGAGUGAUCCUCGCCUACCAUUAGAACAAUUAUACUGCUCCGUACAUUUCAAAUUAUAUGUAUACAUAAUUUUUACUAUGGAUCUACAUAUAUAUUAUAUAUAGAUACAUAUCAAAAUCUAUAUAUAUUUUGGAAUGGAAGGAGUACUAGUCUACUACUGCCAUUUUUAUCAUAUUUCAUGCUAAAUUAUUGGAAGUACAAUAAGGUAUAGUUGAGUAGGGGGUGCUCUCGAUGCAUCAAGAACCAUGAUCUUUUUUUUGUCUCUUUGACUUUGGAGUACAGUUCUACUACAUUCGUUCGAAAAUAUAGUCUAAUUUUUUAUAUUAGUAGUUGUAUUAUGAUAUAAAAAGUCUUUAGAGACAUACUUUUUUACUCUAAAUUUCUCUUGCAUUAUAUCAUUAUUUACUAAAAUAUCAAUUCAUAUGACUUCUGUGGCUAUGGUUUCUCUGAUGGAGCGGGUUUUUUCCGGUUUAUGUGGCUGGAAAAAUGUAUGGCAAAAUGACUUCUCCUUGCUAUUUAAAAUGGAUAUAAAUGUGAAAUGUCCGUAGCAUCCGUAUCUUUUUCUUUUUUCUUCUUUUUUUCAUCUCUUUUCCCUUUUUUUCUUUUCCCUUCCUAUUAUUUUUCCCUCCUUAUAUUUCCCAUCCUCUCUCUCUUUCUUAUCCAUUCUCUCCCGCACCGUCGUCCCUCUCCACCCGCCAGCCGCCUCUCCUGCACUGUCGUCCCCUGCGCCCGCCAGCCUCCCACCUCCCCUGCGCCGGCCUCACCUGCGCGGCUGCGCCCGCUGGCCACCGCGUCAGGCCUCCCCUACGCGGUUGCACAGGCCAACUGCCGGGUCCGACCUCCCCAGCACCCGCCGGCAUGCCACCUCCCCUACGCGGGCUGUGCCGGCCAUCCGCCGGGUCCGGCCUCCCCUGCCCCCCAUCGGCUGUCGGCGACUACGCUCGUCGGCUAGCGACCACCUCGCCCUCUCCCCUCCGCCUCCGCCUCCGCCCCCGCCUCCCUACUCUAGGGGCCAAAGCUGGAACUUUGCCCCCGCGGACGGGGAAGAGCCAUGGGGAGCCACUUUUUUCGGCUUCCUCCCGAUCGAACGACUCCGAUCACCGCAUUUUGCAGGGCUCCCAUGGUGAAGCCAUUUCUUCUCUAGCCCUUUGGCAGGGCUUGACCAGAAGCCGGUGGUGAAGCCGGUCAGGAAGCCCUACCAAAGGGGGCCUAAGCUUUAACUCAAAGGCGUGUUGGAAAUGCCUACGUUAGUAAUUUUUCAUCACUGCAAACCAUCCACCCAAUGACCAGAGAACAAGUGGGAAAACAAGGGUACGUCCAGGUUGCAUAGUGUGAGCUGUAUACUUGUAUGCAAAACAAUUUUAAAUGGCACCUAGUGUUGAAUGAUAUGUGAUCACAAAUAAAUAGAAUAUUACUAUAAUGGGGAAAUUUAUAGAGGUUUCUCUGAUGUUUAUCUAACUUUUUAUGCUCUUGGCUCACUUGUAAUUGACAACCGCAAUAGUACAGGCAGAAAUGUGUGUAAUCUUAGUUCUUAACUUCUUAAACUAGACUUAAUAACAUGUAAAAGAAAAGUCCAGUACUCAUAAUUAGAAUCAACAAAACUUUCAGAAAUCCUAUAUAUCUAUAACUUCAGCCUCAAUUUCGUUAGAAGAAGAAAGGGAAAACUAGAGCGUUAGUCUCAAAUCAACAGCCGUUUCAAGAAGGGAGUACUUAGUUCUUACCCCUACCUUAAACUCCAAUUGUGAUUUUACUCUCAUUUUUGUCCACUUUGUAAUUUUACCCCUGCUUUUUCAAAAUGAACGCUCUAUUUACUCCUAUUUCUGACUCUUUUAGCUGCAUUCAGAAUGAACGAUUUAAAAAAAUUACAAAAAUCCUUCAUAAUAUGUUGAAAAGACAAAACUGCCUCUUUUUCCCUCUCUUCCCCGUCCCCCCUCUCGAUGCCUCACUUUCUCCCAGUCUCUCUCCCAACGUCUCUCUCUUGGUCUUGCAGCCGCAGCGGCUGUGGUUCCGACUAGGGCGGCCGACGGCGGGAUUUUCGGCGGCCAGCAGGCGACCAAGGCUGAUUCCAGUGGCUGGAGAGCGGCGAACGACAUGAGGGGCAGGCGGCCUGGAGGCGUGGGCGUCCGGGGGCCUGGGCGCACAGCUAGCCGGGGGAUGGGCCGCGGGGCGCGGGCGGCGGGGGUCCUACGCGCAUGGGCAGCUGCGGGAUUGGACGCGAGGCGCGGGCAGCCGGGUCCUGGGCGCAUGGCAGGCGGGGGGAUUUGGCGCGGUGCGAGGCCAGCGCAUGGGCAAUCUGAAGGCGCCGCUAUUUUUUUUCAGGGUGAAGGCUAUUAGAGUUCUCUAGAAUCUCAGCACAUCUUAACUUUAGUUCUCUAGAGUUUUGAUAAUCACAGAAGAGUUCAUGGGCCAAAUCUAAGCAAGCAACCGAGUGUACUUAAAGUUUAGUGAUGGUAAUUUGGAUAGUAGGGAUUGUUUUUCAAGUAUUCUAAUAUUGUCUAAAUAUUUGAUCUCAAAUAGGGGUAAAAUCACUAAGUUAAAAAAAAAUAGAGGCAUAUUCGCAAGGGCAAACUUGUCUCAUCUCAGCUCUUUCGACACCGUUAGAUGCUGCUAAGGGAGUAGGGGUAAACUUUCUCUUCAAAUUCAAAAAGAAGGUGGUAAAAUCACAAAGCCGAUAAAAAUGAGGGUAAAAUUAUAAUUGGAGUUCAAAGUAUCAAGAAUGCAAUAGAAGGUGCGCUCCCAUAAACAUCCGCAAAUCAACAGCCGCGAUUGCCCCAGCUGGCAUCCAGUACCAGAAAGAGACAUCCAUCCGUUGAUAUGCAGAUCUUGGCUUCUUGCCCAUGGAAGGGGAAAAAGAAUUCAAAGGAAAAAAAAACGAGGAAGGACCGGCACAGGCUCACCGCGCACAGAUCCUGAGGAUCCAGUCAUCCAGGCCUUUCGCUCCCGUCUCUCGCAUCGCCUUCUUCCUCCUCCGUCUCUCCCCAAAACCGCGCCACACAAGCAAGCAGGCCCUUCACAAAUUCGAACUCUCUACUACUUCUCACUGCCGCUUCUAUCCCCACGGGCGCACCGACAUGCUCGCCGCCGCAUCGUGAUCCCGGGCGCCCUAGCCGCUCUCGGGGGUUCCUCGCCAUGGCCGCGUCGGAGCGGGAGGCCGCGCUCCUCGCGCGCGUGGCCGCGAACCACCUCUUCCUCGGGCAGUUCGAGGCCCUGCGCGCGGCGCUCCUCAGCCUCCGCCGCCGUGCCGACCCGGGGCUCGCCGCGGACUUCCUCCGCGCGGUCGUCGCCGCGGGGGGCCGCGUCCCGGGCGUGCUCUGGUCCGCGCCCCCCGCCUGCCCGUCCCCGUCCCACCUCGCCUGGCUCGCCGCGCUCGAGCUCGCCGCCCUCCCCUCCACCCCCAACCCCGAGGCGCUGCGCCUCAAGGCCGAGUUCCUCGUCCUCCUCCAGCCCAUCGCCGACGACCCCGCCGUUGGCGCCGAGGCCAGGGAGACCCUCACGAGGCUGCUUGAUUUGGGGGUGGUGAGGCUGAGGCGCGAGGUCGAGGGAGGCGGAGGGGAGGCCGUUGCUAUUGUCGAGGAGGCCCCUGUCACCGAGAAGGAUCUGAGGAGGCUGUGGGGGGUGUUCCUCGAUAACGCCCUUGUGCUUGACGCAUUGUGUGUGGGCAUAUCGAGGCAGAUCGGCUUGGACGGGGGUUUCGGCGCGGACGUGCUCCUGUGGCUGCGGCAGAACGUGCAGCUUGCCCACUUGGACUCCAUGAAGACACUCCUUGCAGAGGAUGAUCUUGACGGUGCUGCUGGUCAUCUCCGGUUUCUUUGUCUUGAUCAUGGCGUGGAGGAGGAUGAUUACAAGUAAUCUCUAAAUAAUAUUAAUCGAGUAUACAUCUUUUUAAGUAACAUUUCAACACUAGCUAGUGCAACUUGAGCAUUUAAUAAACAUGUAGAAUCAUCUGUGGAAAUAGUAAGGACAGUAGUAGCGUUGAGUUACAGUUAGUGUUUCGUAGUGGAGUUGGCCAGGAUUUAAUAUCGUUUUACAGCCAUUAGUAGCAGCAUAUGUAAACUGGUAAUGGCUAGAGCCAUGCAGAGCAGCAUUCUAUAACAUUUGUAGGUUUUGAGAAAGAACCAUCACAUUCAUGUUUCUGGUUUCAGAUUAGACAUGUUCAAUUGGUUCCAGAUUAAGACAUGAAAACGAUCAAUCUAAUUACAUAUCAUGUGUACUGGUCUCAGUUUAGUGAUGGAUCUGGAAUAUGGAUACACUUAAUAGAUUGCUGAAAUCAACUUCUUCGUGCACAGGGUUAUCAUAUCAGAGCUUUUCAGAAAGGGUUGGACAAAAGCAUCCAAUUAUGGUGGAAGGUGGUCUCAGUUGCGGGAUAGAAUAACUAAAAUGUACGGCGCAGCUCUUCAGUCUACUAGUCCCCAGCUGGUGCAACUCGUUCAGGUAAUUACAAAUUCUCCUAUCAUCUCUUGCUGGCAUUCUUCACUAUGAACCCCUUUGCCUAUUCAAUUUCUUCCAGUUUUUCCUUUCCUGAUUGAUAACCUGCACCUCGUGUCAUAUAACCAUUCUGUUCCCCCAUUUGUGACAUAAAUUUGGCUCUUUAACAUUUUCAUACGCACUUUAGGCCUUGAAUAGCACAUAUCCUGACUCCUGAGUGCCUUUUUGUUUGUUUCUUAUGAUAUUUAUUUGUACUUUAGGCCAAAAUUUUAGAUGUAGAUGGCCACAGUUUUGAAUUUAUUCCUUGAAAUUCCAGGUUUCUUGUGACCCCAAUACCACUGCCUCUAACAUAAUAUCAAUUAUUACCUUCUAGAUUGCAUUUUUUUGCAUGCUUACUCUUGGAUGAUGCUAAUUUUCGUUUAUAUUAUUUCUAGCUCAUUCUGGAUGACAUUGUUUCUGAAGAAAUUGAAGAUCAUAAUGUCUCUGAUGCUAAUGGGAUGCCUCUCCCUUUCACAAAAUUUGUGGAAACAUUGUCAUUGGAGAGGGGUACUGACUCAGAUGACAGGACCUUGUUGGAUGCAGCUAUAACAUCCUGCAAGAAAGAUCUCUACCAUUAUUGUCGACUCUCUGGAAAGCAUAUGCUUGAAGUUGUCUUGGAAACUGCUUUGUCAUCAAUUAAGAGGGAGCAGCUUCAAGAAGCUGUUGAUGUAUGUCAAAUUUCAACGGGAUACCCCCAUGGUUUUUUUCCUUCUGCUAUGAACAUUUCAUAUCAAAUUCCACCAGUUAGUCGCCUCAUUAGUAUCUUCUGGCAAGUGGCUUUCUGCAGGUUGUUUCGUUGUUCCCCCUUCUCCAGCCAUUGGUUGCUGUCUUGGGGUGGGAUAUUCUGAAGGGUAAAACAGCUCUACGGAGAAAGCUAAUGCAGCUGUUCUGGACAAGCAAAUCCCAAGCUCUACGACUACAGGAAUAUUCAAAUUACCGUAGUCAGACAGAUGAGGUACUUCCUCUGUCACUGAUUUUCUUCUUCUUCUUCUUUGAUAUGUGAGGAUUGUGGCAAUUUAUUUUUGCAGACAUCCUGCGAGGAGUACUUGUGUGAUCUUUUAUGCUUUCAUCUGGAUCUUGCAUGUUUUGUUUCAAGUGUGAAUUCUGGCCACCCAUGGAAUUUGAGGAAUUCGUUAUUGUUUCCCCAACAAGAUCAAGGUUCAGAUGUUAACAAUGCAGAAAUAUUAGACCCUUUUGUCGAGAACUUGAUACUUGAGCGGCUAGCUGUUCAGACUCCCAUGAGAGUGAGUUCUAAUUUCUCUCUCAUCUCAUACAUGUGCUUCACAUGUUGCAUGCUCAUUUGCAUAUAUAUUACCUAUUUAGUACUUUUGUAUGAUUGUAUCAUUUAUCCUCUUGUGUCUUGUUUGGCUCGAAAGGAACCUUUCUUUUCCUAGCUGAUGGCGUGAUGUUCUUUCAUAAUUACUUUUCCUUAACUAUCAGGUGCUAUUUGACGUAGUCCCAGGAAUAAAAUUUCAAGAUGCAAUCGAGCUUGUUGGUAUGCAGCCACUUCCUUCAGCAACUGCAGCUUGGAAGAGGUUCAUAAACAUCUCUGCUGCGAUUUUCUGUUGGCUGCUAUGUUUUAUUUUCUUUAUUUGGGGUUUAUACAAUCAGCAAUGUAAUCUCAACUAUUAUGCUUCAUGCUCCCUGAUGCAUAAAUUUCUUCCCAUAUUUAACCUUCUUGAGCAGUCGUUGAGUUGCCUUUUGUCCACUUUGCUAAUGCCUUUAGCGGUCAAGCCAUGUUAGAAGUUUUCUUAAUACUACUACGCCAAAAGAAGAAUGAAAUAUUUUUGUGUAUUCUUCACUUAUGUUUGGCUUUAUUUUCCAAUGAGCGGUCUGUUUCGUGUGACAGGAUGCAUGAUAUUGAACUGAUGCACAUGCGAUAUUCUCUUCAGUCAGUUGUGCUUGCUCUAGGAGAGAUGGAGAAGUGUGCAGCUGAUGGGAAUGAGUGUUAUUAUCAUAAAGCGUUAUCAUAUCUGAGGGAGAUGCAAAAUUUUGUGGAGGCUAUCAAAAGUACUCCAAGAAAGGUUGGGUCUUCUGUGAUAUGUUCUUAUUCAGGUGCAUGUUUUUUUUUGGCAAAUGCAUAUUUUUAUUCCUCAAAGUAGCAAAGCCAUGGAAUUAUCAGUUCUACAUACCUUAGGAGCAACCUAAUAUUUAUUCUUUUUCCUUUAAAAGGAGCUUAUGUUUUUCAAGAUUCAGACUUCAUGAUUUUUGAUAAAUAACAAAUCUAACAAUUUGUUGACUUUUUGAUUGGCAUCAUUGAACUCAUAUUUGAAAGCACUUCCCUUCAUGAUUUUGUUGAUAUGAACAAUAGGCUAUAGGGAAUUUGAUGGUAAAAGUUUAGUUUUGAAGAUCAUGCCGACUCAAACUGCAAUUUCAAUGGGGUUCCUAUGCUAUUGAGCUUCACUUUUCCAUGUUGUUUUGCAGAUUUUCAUGGUCAGCAUUAUAUUAUCAUUGUUACAUAUGGAUGACUGUGUGAAACUGUCUCAAGCAGUCCCUUCUGAGUGCUAUGUCACUCAUGAAUGCCAUGAAAGUAAUAUUGAAUCUGAGGGAAAGAACAUGGUGAUAUAUUUUGUUGGGCUUCUACUUGAUAUACUUAGUCAUAAUCUCCAAGUGAAAGGCCCUGAUAUGGAUCACCUGUCCAGUACUAGUCUGUCACCUGCUGGUAGGCAAGCAUUAGAAUGGAGGCUCAAACAUGCCAAACAUUCCAUUGAAGACUUAGAUUGGCGUCUAUCUGUUCUAAAACGCCUUCAACCUCCUUCCGAGCGGCAAUGGAGUUGGAAGGAGGCAUUAGUUCUUCUACAUGCCGCUCCUUCAAAGUUACUAAAUGUGUGAGUUUUCUAUGAUAUACUUUGUUUUUUCUAUAUUCUGUUGUGUUCACCUUUUUUAUGCUUUACCAAAGGAUUAUGCUUUGGUGUGAUCUCAUUGUGCAAUUCCCAGUAUAAUUUUUAAGUUGGAAGUUUUGUGGGGCUAGAAGUAUGUACAUGUUUUAUCUUAAGUAUUAAGGCCAGUGAGUUGCAUAGAGCUAAGCAUCCCUGCCUAUUCUCUGUGGCCCUGGCCUAGCUUUUUACCAUUCUAAAAUAGUUUUUAAUUUUUAUGUUACAUUGAUGCUUCACAGCAUCAGUAGGCUGUGCACUUUUAGGAUAAUAUAAAUGCAUGGGAAUGCAUAUCACUGCAGAGUUGAUGGUAGCUUGGCAUUAAACGUGACACUUAUUUUCUCAGACUUGUAUAAUCUCAUCUGAAACACUAGAGCUUUUCUGUACUCAUCUCCAAUUUGGCAUGUUUGCUCAUCUGAACCCUAUAUAAUGGGCUAUUGUACUCAAAUCCUGGGAGUUGCUUACAUUCCAUGGGCCAAGGGUACUGAGAUGUAUAACCUUUCUCAAUGGGUCAAUAAUAUAUUGCGGACUAAUAUGAAAAAAAGCAUUAUUGUAUUGAAGAAAAUACUGGAAAAAUAUAAUAUUGAUCUCCAGAGUCUCUGACCUUUCCUUUUGUUUCUUUGACAUUGUUAAAUGUUUGCACCUUUAAUAUUUCUUUAAUAUAAUGUAACUUACUCUUUUACUUUUGUGAGAUUUUAUUUAUCUUGUUUCUGAGUUCUGUUCUCUGUGCAUGUGCGUACGUGCAUGUAUGCAUGCGUCUAUGUGGCAUGUCAAUAUGUUAUGACACAUGGUUGUGGGGAACUUCUCACCAUUCAAAUUCGUGACAGAUGCAUGCAAAGGGAAAACUAUGAUAUAGGAGAAGAAGCUGUACAGAGAUUUUCUUUACCCGCCGAGGAUAAAGCCUCUCUUGAACUAGCUGAAUGGGUAGCUGGCGCAUAUAAAAGAGCAUUGGUAUGCUUACACAUGCAAUUUUAUUAGUUGCUUUGUAGAUACAAUGUGCUCGAUUUUCUUUUUUCUCGAUGUACUUUGCACAUGGAACUAAGUUACUCCUCUGCCAUUUGUGCUGGAAGUUUCUCUCACAAACAGUGGGAGGAGAGGUAUGGGGAAGAUAAGUCGGCAACAGGGAAAGCUUGAGAGUUAUGGACUGCCAUAUGCUACCUUGGUUUCAUUCACAGAAAAAGUGACAUUUACAUCCUCCAGAGUGCAUACUUGGCUACUAAACUCUUAUCGUAACAUAUUUAAAACGUAUCAACGGCCUGUUUGGAUACGUGGUAUUUUUGGAGUUUUUAUAAGGAGCUGAAAAUACCAUGGUAUUAAAAUUGAGGCGUCCUAUAAAAUGCAGCAUACCAAAUACAAUGAUGUUAGUUUUUCUUAAAAAAAAAUGCACUCACAUCUUGUUUCUUGUAAAGACUGACAAAGUGACUGGCUGACUGCUAGCUUGAUAUUCAUCUGUUCAAUGCAUGCCAUGUUCAGUACUUCUUCAGCCAUCGAGUCAUGUAAAUCUUUCUGCUGUAUUACAUUCUUUCGUUCGCUUUUCUGCUGAGCUAAAUAUUGAUAUGUGCUCUUAGGUUUUGGAACCUUGAUCUGCAAUUGUUCAUAUUCGGUUAGAAUGUUUGGAUUUCAAAUUUUAGGUACUCAGUUAAUAUUUCAAAAAUAACUGUAAAACAGCUGAAUGUGAUUAUUUAUAGCAAACAUGUCAUUUUUGUAUCAAGGUCAGAUGCAUCUCAUUUCCUUACUUUUGUUGUCCUUUUCAGGUUGAAGAUGCGGUGAAUCGUGCUACCAAUAACAAUGCGGGACAGGAAUUGGAUAUUUUGUCAUUACGUGCUCAGCUUGGUUCUCUAACUACGGUUAGGAAUUCUCUUUUAUCUGCAUUGAGUAAUAUCAAUGAUACACAUUCUUGAUAUUUGGCCAAAAAAUAAUAUCUGAACUUUCAGAUUCUACUUUGUGUUGAUGUUGCUGCAACAUCUGCUAGGUCAGGUGAUAUGUGCCGAUUUCUUCUUGAUGAGGUAAGCAUUAUCAGCUGUGCAUUUCUGCAUCAUACUCUCGCAUAUAGUAUUGGAAAUGACCGUUGUUGUAUCUUCUUUUUUUUGUGUGUACUCUACCAUUAGACUAAUGUGGAUUGGGUUUGCUGCUAAUUUCACUCUUGCUUUGGAGUAUGAGUGUAGCAUAGUGCCUCAUCUUUAUUUUUUUUCUCUUUUUGUCACCAAGGUACCCUGUACUACAUGAUCCAAAAAAGGAAACUGAUGCAUGGUGUCUUCUGUACGUUUAAAAUAGGAAAAACUAGGAAUGCAUGUGUAUCCAUUUGCUUGUGCACUAGGACAUCCAUAACUAAUUUUUAUUUUCUUGGAAGAUUGAGCAUAUGGAGGAAUGAAUGUGCCAGUAAACGGGAAUACUAGUUCCCUUAUCUGGCUUGUGCAUUUGAUUAUUUCAUAUACUUAUCAUCUAAAAUAUUAUGUUUAACACCCUACCCCAUUGACAUAUGAUUUCGCUAGUCAUAAUCCUACACUAGGAGGUUGCCUGAUUGUAAAUAAUUACAGUUGUUAGCAGUGAAACCUAGUGUGCUCAACUUCAAGUGUUUUUCUGCUGAAGCCUGUCCAGCUAUCAAUUCGAACAAAUCCUUUGAAUUAUUUCCUUUUUAUUUGUGCCUGAAUUCCUUUUACACAAUUUUGCUAUAUAAUAGUGGUCCCAAUUGCAGUGUUGUUCUAUCUGCCCAGUCUCGAUUGCAUGGUUUUGUUGCUUUUGGCAUGACGACAUAAGUUCACACUCCUUUUCCUCAUAUACAGGCAACAAGCUUGCUAUCUGAAAUAUUUCCAGGCAGCUCCCCAAAAGAAGGCGCAGCUUACUGGGAUCAGAUCCAAGAACUUGCUACGAUAUCAGUGAUAAAGCGCAUCCUUCAGCGUCUGCAUGACAUCGUGGAUCUGGUAAGCUUUUAUUUGUAAGUAAUCAACGAACUACUGGAUCUUUGAUCUUCUGCUCGACUUCCCCACUUGUUUAGUUUUUGUCUAUUGUGCCUAUGAAAAAAACAGUGACAUUUUCAGCAUCUUUGCUUAUAUUAAAGGCUUAUCACUUCUUUACAUACUUCUUAGAAUAAUCCAAUGUACAGUUUACAUAAAAAAGCAGCACGAAUUGAUUAUAUUUGUGGCUUUUAUUUCUGUUCAGCAUUUGAUACAGCUAAACAACCAUAUACUUGCUUUUAAAUAUACCUUUUGUUCUCAUUUAGGAACCUCUUCCAUAUCUUCAAGUGUUUUUUACCGAGAUGAGCAUCUCUUCGUCAACUGAAUCUAGCAGAGUUGGACAAAAGCAACGUCCUCUUGGGCUUCUUCACCAAAUGAUUGAUGACGCCUUCAAAGGAAAGCGGCAAUUCUUGAGUGGUAAUAUCUCAGUUGAUUCAGUUGAAUGUUAAAUUAUUUUGUUGUGAUGUUCUGGCAGCACGUUUGACAUUUCUGUUUUAGGUAAACUUCACAAUGUUGCUAGAGCUAUUGUUGAUGAAGACUUUGAUAGUGUUUAUGCAAAAGAAGGUGUCAACUUAGAAAAGAAAGAUGUUUUGAGUUCUGAGAAAGGUGUAGUCCUUGGUCAUGGGCUUAGGAUCCUGAAACAAGCAUCUAGGAGUGACCUUGCAUCUUCAAAUGUUCCGGAAAGCAGUUCAGAACACAAAGGUUCUACAAAUAGAUACAUGGGUCCUCUAUCUACCAAGCCAUCAACAUAUUUAUCAAACUUCAUAAUAUAUAUUGCAACCAUUGGUGACAUAGUCGAUGGAACUGACACGACUCAUGAUUUCAACUACUUCUCAUUAGUCUACGAAUGGCCAAAAGAUGUAAGCUCAAAUCCGUACCUUUUUUAAUGUUUUUUUUUCUUAUACUCAUAUGUUCAAUGAAAGUCCGUAACAUAUGCAUAUUUGAAAUGAUUUUUUGAGAGAGGGGGGCAUUGAAAGAUGACAUGUGGGAUCAGCACUGUGUCAGCAAAACCGGGGGGGGGGGGGGGGGGGGGGGGGGGGGGGGGGGGGGGGGGGGGGGGGGGGGGGGGGGGGGGGGGGGGGGGGGGGGGGGGGGGGGGGGGGGGGGGGGGGGGGGGGGGGGGGGGGGGGGGGGGGGGGGGGGGGGGGGGGGGGGGGGGGGGGCAUUGAAUACCUUGUUUUGUACUACAGGGGAGGGGGUUAAUAUUCCUAGUUGGAAGAUAUGGAGGAUGACAUGUAUUUGAACUCUAUAUAGUCAACCAUUACCCUGUUGUAAUGGCAUUUGUCUUCGACUUUCAUUCAUUAACAGUAAAGAAUAAGGAUUUUUUUGUAGCAAACAAAUCAGAGCUUUUGUAGGGUUCCGUGUCGCAAGGGAUAGAUAAGAUUCUAGGUUUUCAGAUAUUGAAUAUUUUCUUUCUCCCAACCCGAUUGCAAUGGAACACUUGCCUUCUAUAUUCUUUAAUUGCAGGUACAUGUAAGGAAGUUUUUGUAGCUAACAAACUGGAGCAGUAGUGGUCCAUGUUUCAAUGUCAAUGGAUGAUUAACUUUCUAGGCUUUCAGAUAUUGAGAUACGUCUUUGUCCUGAGUGAAUUUGGGAUCUCAGAUCAAACCAUCAUUUUUUUUUUGGUAACAUAGCAAAUGAUAGGGUUUCUGCACAAGGUUACGUGGGUGAAUCUCUAGGUAGCAUUUAAUGGAACAUGUCAAUGGCAAUUAUAUGCAUCAUAAUGAAAAAUCUGAUAAUUAUCAUGGUGUACGUUGGUUGAGUUCAGCAUUCUGGAAAACAUUAUCUGAAAAAUCUAAAAAGGUUGCUAACUGAGAUACGAUUACGAAGACAUUAAAUAUAUUGGCAUUUUGUACAAAAUGAUCUCUUACUUCAUUGUUCUAAUGUCAAAACUACAAUAUAGUCAUUUCAUAAAGCUAAAUUAUUGUCCCUUUGAAUACCAUUCUUGGCAUUACUACUUAGCUAAUACAUGUUAC
This 40092-nucleotide long non-coding RNA is filed under the name Setaria viridis. RNAcentral describes it as "long non-coding RNA (SVIR_LNC005851)". Lineage: Eukaryota; Viridiplantae; Streptophyta; Magnoliopsida; Poales; Poaceae. The record is from RNAcentral.